Molecule: long non-coding RNA, 3252 nt
Organism: Odocoileus virginianus texanus
Lineage: Eukaryota; Metazoa; Chordata; Mammalia; Artiodactyla; Cervidae
Source: RefSeq, a predicted model, not a curated record
UAUCCUACUGCCUUCUAUACUGGGACUUUUGUGUCACAGCUGAGCUAUCAUGGGAUGAACUUCCUAACAUCUUCAGUUGACCAACCUCACAAUUGUGUCAAACACAACUGGAUGCAAACAAUAUAAAUAGAGAAGACUUACUCCCUGGUUCAGUUGCUCUCAAAUCCUGAGUUGAACAAGACAAGAGGAAACUACGGAAAAAUCAACAAACAAAAGAAAAGGAAAUUUAAAUUCCUUUUCCAAAGCUUCAGUAAGCUCUUGGGUACACCAGGAAUGAGUUCGGUGAGGUAACAUCUCCCCAGAGGAAAUAUGAGCAGAGGCCUCAAGAUAGAAGGAAUUUUGGCCAUUGGAGCAGCAGAAGGCAGGCCAGUGUGGCUCCAGCAUGAUGAGGGGUAGGUAAAGAGGCAAGACAAGGCUGAAGACAGGCUGGGUCAUAUUCCUUAUGGGACUCAACACUGUCCAACCAGGUAUCAGGUUCCAGGGCUUAACACUAUAUUCCACAAUAAUAACCAGGCUUGGUGAAAUCCAACUCAUCCUAGCUCUUACCUGUUAAACACGUUUUACAUGAGUAUCCACCCUAAUUCUCACACUAAUUCUCAAGGACAAUUACCCUUACCAUUUACAGAUUAAUAAGACAACACAAAAGAGUAAAAACAAUUAUUUAAAUCAAAUAGCAGGGUCUGUCAAAUUGUCACCUUCAAAAUAAAGAAGGUGGAAGAUAGAAAAGUUCACUUUGCAUAGGAUAAUAAUUGUCCUCAUUAGCAUUACCAUGGCUACACAUCCUCUCCCCCAGCCAUGUUGGAGAAGCAGAAGUAUAAAUAUGAUGCUAAGGAAUUUGGCAAGCUACCCUAACUAGUAAUUAGCUUGGGGAAAAAUUUGGUGGGACCUCUAUGAAGUUUGGGCACAGAAAAAUCUCCAUGCUUAAGAACAUGCCACUUUUCUGUUUAAUAUCCAGAAUCACUCAUCUGGAAGGCAGACCUUCACAUUGUUAGUGACAGAAGGGAGAGGAAAUGUGAAAGGAUGAAAUCGGGGAGUACACACCUCAAAACGUGAUAAAUCCCCGUUGCCUGUCCCAGAUUGGCAGAGAGGCAGCAUUUAGCCUUCCGGUUCUCUGUUCCUCUUACUCACAGAUUCUAGCCCUGGUGUUACCUGGCGCUGGCUUCUGAACCCUGUCUCCCAGACUUUAGCUAUUUAAGACCAGCUGUUUUGCUCAGCACCUUUCCUGAUGCAACUCUUAAAUACGAAUCUCAGCCUGUGUUUUGAUGACAUUUAACUUCCAGCCUCUCCCAGUCCAUCAUUUUACUGUGGAAUCCAUUUCUUGGCUGUUUUGUUCUUCACAUAGAUGGCCACUGAUAUUCUGACGAUAGCUGGCAAGUGGUUCAACGCUUAAGUGCAGAACUAUGAAGCCAGAAAUGCAAAUGGCAUACUUGGAAGCCUUAGUAUUUGUUUUUACUGAACAAAUUUUGGUGGGUACUUUUGGGGUCCUGGCAUUAUUUAUGUGCUGCUUGUAUUGGAAAGUCACAAACUGGGUGACUAGUAUUGGGUGGAUCUGUUUAAGAAGGUCAGUGGUGUCGAUGUUGAUUCUCAUUAUUUACGGCUGCCUUAGAGUAUACGUGGCUUGCUUUUAUCUAAAGUUUCCAUUCCACAACUAAAAGACAGAGUGCUGAGUUUUAAGAAAAUAUGAUAUACAAAAAGUCAGUUAUAAGAAAGUAACUUGGUAAGCUGAACUAUUAUUUAUUGAUUUUUACCAAAGGAUUUACCAAAUAUAUUUACCAAAGGAUUCAUGACGGAUUCAGAGAUACUGAGAUUCCUUGACAUAUUAAAAAUGUGACUGAAUUUCCAAAAGCUUUACUUAACAGUUUACAGAAUAUGUUUAUUGUUCAAUGGUAGGAACAUCGGUGGAUUAUCUAUAAAGAAACAUCUGUUGUUUGGAUCUAACUCUAAAAUGUUCCUGAUUUGAUGAUCAUGUUUGUGUUUUACUAUAUAUUCAGAAUAAAUAUUUUGAUUUUCAUGGUAAUGUCAAAAGUAGCAACGUCUUUUCAAGGCUUCAAAGUUCAAAAUGGAACCUGCAUAAAUGAACUAUUAGUCUCUCUAAAUCACUAAUAUGUCUCUCAUGUUUUAAAAGUAGGGCAAGCAUAGUAAAUGUUGGGUUUGUGUUUCGCUUUUUUAAAGCAAGAACUAUCUUAUCAAUCUUUUUAACACAAAACUAUAUAAGAAACUUUAGACAAGGUGCCAGUGGAAUGAAUCUGCUAACGAAAUUCCAUUUGACAAGUUUUAGGAAUUACUUUUGACAUAAUUAACCAACUUUGCUCCAUUUCAUGUUUGCUCUGUUUCCAGGAGAUGCCACUAGGCAGAAUUCAGCAAGUUGAAGGCCUAUAUGCUUUCAGCACUCAUAUCUGCAAAUAUAGUCCCACCUGAGGCUUUCCAGGGGUAUUAACCAAAUAGCAUGCUUUUCUUUUAAACUUCUGUAUAUGCCUCUAAAGUAUAAGAUCUCUUUUUUAAUAACAUAGGAAUAAUAUCAUAUGCAAAAUGAUAGUAGUUAAAGAAUAAUAUUAUCAAACACAUAGAUAAUAUUUAAGUAUACCCAUAAAAUGUUUUGGGUUUCUCUUAGGAGAGUGAGAAGUGGAAGAUGUUUUUUUUUUAUAGUUAAUGCAUUCAAACCAUAAUCCAAAUAAAUUCCCCACAAUGCAUUCAGUUGAUUUGUCUCUUAAAUCUUUUUAGUAUUCAUAGCUUUUUUGUUGAGCAAAACUGAGCAUCUGACCUCUUGGUCUUUUUACUUCCUGUAUUUUGCUGAUUGGUACUCUCAUAUUAUUGUCUAAUCUAUUCUUCUAUUCCUUAUAUCUCCUAUAAACUGGUAGCUAGAACUAGAAGCUUGAUCAGACUGAAAUUCAAUUUUUUGGAAGGAUGCUUUUUAAAUCAGAGAAAAUUAAUUGAAAUGUAUAAGGGCAGAAUCCAAUUUCAGAUAAAGGCAUAAUGUCAGGCUUUUAGAGUUAUCUGGACUGGAGGUAAGUAUCCCUAUGUUUGUCAGAAACUUUUAGGAAAGGAGCAUAUCCUAAAGUUACUCAUCAGUAAUAUCAUUUAGUAGUGAAAUUAAGAUAAGCUUCCAUUAGAAGGGGAAAGUUUUAUAAAAACUGAAGUGAUUGAUAUAAUGCACAACCUAUAUGGCCAUUAAUAAUAACAUCACAUAAAAUCCAGAUGUCAUUGACAAUGAACUUUUUUUUUUAACUUUUUUUUUUAUUAGUUGGAGGCUAA